This is a non-coding RNA of Ictidomys tridecemlineatus (thirteen-lined ground squirrel), 73 nucleotides long. Lineage: Eukaryota; Metazoa; Chordata; Mammalia; Rodentia; Sciuridae. The record is from the annotation of a RefSeq genome assembly.
UGGGGUGGUGGCUCAGUGGUAAAGUGUUUGCCUUGAAUGCAUGAGGCCCUGGGUUCGAUUCCCAGCACCACAU